UAGGGAAUCUUCCGCAAUGGACGCAAGUCUGACGGAGCAACGCCGCGUGAGUGAAGAAGGAUUUCGGUUCGUAAAACUCUGUUGUUAGAGAAGAACAGCGCAUAGAGUAACUGUUAUGCGUGUGACGGUAUCUAACCAGAAAGCCACGGCUAACUACGUGCCAGCAGCCGCGGUAAUACGUAGGUGGCAAGCGUUGUCCGGAUUUAUUGGGCGUAAAGCGAGCGCAGGCGGUCAAUUAAGUCUGAUGUGAAAGCCCCCGGCUCAACCGGGGAGGGUCAUUGGAAACUGGUUGACAUGAGUGCAGAAGAGGAGAGUGGAAUUCCAUGUGUAGCGGUGAAAUGCGUAGAUAUAUGGAAGAACACCAGUGGCGAAGGCGACUCACUGGUCUGUAACUGACGAUAAGGCUCGAAAGCGUGGGUAGCAAACAGG
RNAcentral lists this ribosomal RNA (429 nucleotides) under Bacteroidota bacterium. RNAcentral's name for it is "Bacteroidetes bacterium partial 16S ribosomal RNA". It matches the Rfam family "Bacterial small subunit ribosomal RNA", at positions 355 to 776 of the family's 1533-position model. The record is from RNAcentral. Lineage: Bacteria; Pseudomonadati; Bacteroidota.